Molecule: long non-coding RNA, 838 nt
Filed under: Anser cygnoides (Swan goose)
Lineage: Eukaryota; Metazoa; Chordata; Aves; Anseriformes; Anatidae
Description: lncRNA (ENSACDG00005003285.1)
Source: RNAcentral
CAUUCUUCGAGCUGCAUAUACCUUACAGAAGAGGAAGAGAAAUGAGCUGAAGAAAUUGGCAUGAAAAGACAUUAAAACAAAGAAACAGACACAGGGAGAAACACGCAACAGUAACAACUGACUGGGAAGGUGAGGCAACUCAGGUUAUCAGGUUUUCUCAAGGAUUUCGACAAUGCUGCUCCGCUCAGGCCGCCAAAAGCCGUACGAAGUGCUUGCCUCUGGAAGGCAACUGGCUAAAGGCAAAUCUCUGCAGUGCAAUACAGCAGCAGCUUCUGAAAAGUCAGUAAAAUUGCCAGUGUUUAGACUGCGAAAAACAGUGAAGUGCUAUUUACUGACUGAAGAUUCAAAAACAGUGCAUUUUGACUUAGAUGAAGAUGGUCAUCAUGAAAUAUCAACCAAAGAUUCACAGUCCCAUGAAGAUAUCGCGUGGUUAAGCAUGUUCACAAGCAAUGAACCAGCAGUUAGUGCAAAAACAUGCUCUAAAAAUGUGGUGGUCCUCACACAGAGAUCAAAGCAUAACGAAUUUGUCCUGUUGUGCAAGGGUAAAAAGCAGCUCUGUCUGAAGGUCUUAAAAGGAUGUUGUUCAGAGCCAGAUUAUCCUUCAAUGAGAAGACGCAACAGGAAAACAUGCAAGCACGAAGAUCCUGACUUCAAACAGCUGAGCGAAGAUAAUCACUUUUUCAUCAUGCAUUGUGAAGGAGAGUCAGUGAAAUUCCAGUGCUAUGAAGACACAAAUUACUUUCUGCAUGUGAAUGAUGACUCACUUGAUAUACGCAAGCCAGAUCACAAAGACCCCAAUGGAGAGAAAAAUUUUUUCUUCAGGGUGUCAUACUUAUAG